Molecule: ribosomal RNA, 478 nt
Filed under: uncultured bacterium
Lineage: Bacteria
Description: partial 16S ribosomal RNA
Rfam family: Bacterial small subunit ribosomal RNA
Source: RNAcentral
GACGAACGCUGGCGGCGUGCUUAACACAUGCAAGUCGAACGGUAAGGCCCUUCGGGGUACACGAGUGGCGAACGGGUGAGUAACACGUGGGUGAUCUGCCCUGCACUUCGGGAUAAGCCUGGGAAACUGGGUCUAAUACCGGAUAGGACUCCUGCCUGCAUGGGUGGGGGUGGAAAGCUUUUGCGGUGAGGGAUGGGCCCGCGGCCUAUCAGCUUGUUGGUGGGGUGAUGGCCUACCAAGGCGACGACGGGUAGCCGGCCUGAGAGGGUAACCGGCCACACUGGGACUGAGAUACGGCCCAGACUCCUACGGGAGGCAGCAGUGGGGAAUAUUGCACAAUGGGCGCAAGCCUGAUGCAGCGACGCCGCGUGAGGGAUGACGGCCUUCGGGUUGUAAACCUCUUUCAGCACAGACGAAGCGCAAGUGACGGUAUGUGCAGAAGAAGGACCGGCCAGCUACGUGCCAGCCGCCGCCGUAA